GAGUUCAAAACAUUAUUGUAAAACGGUACGUGUUGAUUAGUUAAAACAGUGUGUAUAGGGAUAGUCUAAUGAAACUGCGUUUUAAGGGGACUCACGGUCUGAGCUGUGAGAAGGGCCAACUAACUGUUCAGUCUGUCAUUCCUUCCUCUCGAUUCUCUCUUCUUCUUCUUCCUUUCUUUUCUAUCAAAAUUUCUCUCUCAGUAACAACCCCCCCCCCGAAUUGAAAUAGCACUAAUAAAAUCAACCGUAAAAAAAAGGAGGCAAAGAUUAUAAAGCAGCACGCAGCAGACGGUGAGUGUAUUUCCGACAGAAUCUGGUCAUGGCCGUCGGCCUCAUAUCAGUACCUUUUGUUCCUCACUAAUAUCACAAUAAUAGAACUCUAUCAUCGAUACAAGAAGCAGCUUAGGGCAUCGAUAGUUUCAUCCAUGUUUUAUUGUGAUAUUUGUGAAGAAAAGAAGGUAAGAAUAUGAUUUUCUUGUUUGAUUCAAACUCCACCCUCACCCUCGCCUUUUUGCAUAUUCAGCUAUACCCUCU
RNAcentral lists this long non-coding RNA (534 nucleotides) under Gossypium barbadense (sea-island cotton). RNAcentral's name for it is "long non-coding RNA (GBAR_LNC019013)". Lineage: Eukaryota; Viridiplantae; Streptophyta; Magnoliopsida; Malvales; Malvaceae. The record is from RNAcentral.